Molecule: non-coding RNA, 72 nt
Organism: Haemonchus contortus (barber pole worm)
Lineage: Eukaryota; Metazoa; Nematoda; Chromadorea; Rhabditida; Trichostrongylidae
Source: Rfam
GUCUCGGUAGUGUAAGGGGUAGAGCACGGUGCCCGGAAAGCACAAAUUCGGGUUCGAGUCCCGUCUGAGACU